Molecule: long non-coding RNA, 1421 nt
Organism: Oreochromis niloticus (Nile tilapia)
Lineage: Eukaryota; Metazoa; Chordata; Actinopteri; Cichliformes; Cichlidae
Exons: 4
Source: RefSeq, a predicted model, not a curated record
UAGUGUAAGAACGCAAAGCAUACGUGAACAUCGAAAAGAUUUUAAAGAAAGAAGGCAUCCGUUUUCAGACUCCUCUAAACAACAUGCACAUCCACUGGCCAAAUGGAGUGAAAACUUACGGCAACGCAGAGGAGGCUGCUAGCGACCUGCAAGAGAGAGGAUACAACGUGGAAAAAGGAAUAAACAGCCGGGAGAGAGAGAGCACUGAGGGACGUCUGUCAACCGGGGCAGAGGCUGUCCUUAGAGCCCUGGCCAGAGUCCUAAGAGAAGACUGGAAGUGGAGUAUGGACUUGGCAACAACCAUCAUCUCUGUCUUCUUCUGUUUCUCCAGUUUCUCCCAGUUCCAUGGAAUGAUCACACAUGUCAAGAUUGGGUCCUUGUGUAUGAAGAUCAUUGAAUAUGAGCUGAAGAGGUAUGACCUCUGGCAAGAUGAGCUUUAGAAGAAGGAGGCUUAUAUCCUUUUAUAAAGAGUCAAAAACACUCGAUUAUGUGUUUUUGUGGUUUGUAUUUAUUUGAGUUCCUUGACUGUUGCUACAUGAAGCACUUUCUGAGAACGAAAAUCUAAAGAAAGAAGAGGAAGAAGACAAGAAGUCUUUCAAAAAGUAUCAGAGCCUUCAGAUCAAGCAGGAGCAGUUUCUCAGAGAGUGUGGAAAGGAGCUGAUGUACUUGGAGAGACACAUGGAGAACAUACAGACUCCACACACAAGCCUCCAGCCAGGUUUUGAACUAGGAACCUUCUUGCUGUGAGGGGACAGUGCUAUCCACUCUAUCAUCAUGCCACCAACCUCAUAGUACCUGGUAUUCCCGUCAAAGCACUAAGCUGUCUUUGUCAGACUUGAACUUGAGAAAACACAGUGGAUCAACUACCACCACCUGUGUUCCAGCUAUGAUUGUGUGAGAGUUGUAGCAGCUGUCACAAGUUCUUAUUUAAUAAUUCUUUAAGGCUGGUUUCAUCUCCAUUGCUUAUACAUCUUUUGCUAUCACACAUUUCCCUUCUUGUCAACUUUCCAUUAGUGAUGUGUUGGUCGCGAAUGAAACGGCUGGAGCCGGCUCUUUGAAGUGAACGAUGGAAGCCGGCUCCCGUGUUUGUUUGUUUUUUCUUUCUCUCACCCUCUCUCUCGCACUUUUUUUCGCUUCACUCCGUACGUGAGCCUUGUGCUUGCACUGAGCAGAGGGAGGAGGGGCGGUAGUUACACUUGCAGUAGCACAGGAACAGGGCGGGAGGGAGAGAGAGAGAAAGAGAGCCAGGGGCAACAACGUCACAUUAGAAAGGUAUAGUGAUCAUCCACAACUAUUUUCAGUUAUGGAUGAUAAAGGAUUCAGAAAGUUUAUUCAUGCAGUGAAUCCUAUGUAUGCAAUUCCAAGCAGGAAAACACUCUCCCAAAAAAUCCUCCCAGGCCUAUAUGACAGAGAAUGUGCAU